UUUUUACUUUUAUCUUUUUAGAAAAGUUAGAAAAUACUAUGGGUAAGGAAAGUUAACUUACAUUAUAUACAAAACAUUAUAUGCAUUAAUUUGGUUCAGUUGAAAUGAUUUGGUAUGAUUCAGUGAAGUUUGUAAACUUUUAAAUAAAUUAUAAGUUUUGAAUGAUGUAUGCUUUUAAAAAUUUCAGCUUUCAUAAUCCUCCAACAAUUGGUAUGAAUUUAAGAACUAUUAAUGUAAAAUGCAUAUUAAUCUGAUUAUGUAUUUUAUUGUUAUUAAUAUUAUUAAUUCUUUGUUGUUGCAAUUUUCAGCUCAGUCUGCAUCUAUAGGAUUACCCCUAUAGUGGUGUCUACAUCUUUAAUUUCUAAAUAAGUGGCAUCUAGUGGAUGUAAAUAGUGUAACUUGCAAAGUAAGUGCAGCAAGUAGUGGAACUUGCAAAAAGGUACAGCAAGUAGUGGAACUUGAAAAUAGGUACAGCAAGUUUUGAGUCUUGCAAAUUUUUUUGAUAGACGACUCUGGCUUACCUUUACCUAUCUAUAGUUAAAAUGAUUUAUUUUAGUUCCUAAAUGGAAUUCAAACCGUAAAUCGUUUACUAAAAGUCAUGACAAUAGUUAGUUACUUUUUUUAAAAAAAGACUUGCUGCUGUGUAUUUUUUUUUAGGAUGGAGUGGGUACCCCUUCCUUCGCAUGGCAAAAUGGAUACUUUCAUACAUCUUGUAAUGUGGUAAAAUAGUUUUUUUAAAAGCAUUUUAAAAAUAUUUUUCUGUAAAAUUCUCAUUAAAAUUUUUUUUAGGUAUGGUGCGAUAGGAGGGCGGCUUACGCCCCUUUCCAUGAAGGCAAUUUAUACUCCACUAGUUACUAUUUUUCCAAGUAUCGAAAUAUAUGUUUUUGUUUUUUAUACCAGAAUUAAUUGUUUUAGUAAAGAAUAAAAUAUUUAAAAGAAUGAAAUUUUGAUAGGGUGUGUUAAACCUUACCCAAAAUCCAACACCCGACUUUGAGAUAGACCUGUAAUAUUCACUAGUGAUGUGGUAUAAAAUAAUAACAACUUUUUGUAUAUAAAUAUUUGUAAUUAAAAAAAAGAAAAAGAUUUUUAUGGAAAAAGUGUUUUUUUGUGAGAUGUAGGUGGUGGAUUAGCACCCCCUCCGGAUCCCUUCUGCGCUCUAAAACUAAAUUUUACUUAAAAUUUAUUUGGAAAAUAUAGCCUUCUUCUAUAUCUAUCUUUUGAUACCAAACUAUAGAUAUUUGAAUAAGAACUGGCAAAGUUAUAACGAUUUAUGUAAAAAAAAUUUUGACCACAGUUUUUAUCAAGAAAUCCAUUUAUAGAAAAUUUGCUACUAAAAACGUCAUAACUUUUGAUAAAAUAGUCCAAUUUUCAUAAUUUUUUCACUUUUAAAAUACUGUAUUUGACUGUAUUUAACACUCUUGUAUUUGAUCAAUUUAAAAAAAAUCAGUCCACGUGCUUAAUAUCAGGCAAGAUUAGAUAAC
Molecule: non-coding RNA, 1481 nt
Organism: Hydra vulgaris (swiftwater hydra)
Lineage: Eukaryota; Metazoa; Cnidaria; Hydrozoa; Anthoathecata; Hydridae
Source: RefSeq, a predicted model, not a curated record